Molecule: non-coding RNA, 29 nt
Filed under: Mus musculus (house mouse)
Lineage: Eukaryota; Metazoa; Chordata; Mammalia; Rodentia; Muridae
Source: RNAcentral
UACGUAGAAUAUUGAAUGUAGGUGGAGAC